UGUAAGGGCAAUCUGGCUGCAACAUCUGCCAUCCCAUUGAUCAUCCAUGUUUAUUCAGCUGAUCUGGUUCACCAGAUAAGUGUCUCUUUCAACCCUGACCACUCCAUAUGCGACUGUCCUGAACCUGUACAUACUGUUAAAGAGGAUGACAUCCCAGGUAAAAGAAGUUUGGUGUUCUGUUAUCACAGGUAUACAAUAGUUGCACUCCCCUGCUUGAUAACCCAAACUAGCUCAAUUUUGUUGUUAGUUUUAUCUCUAUCCCACCUUUUCCCCAGGUUUGAGACUCAAGGGAGCUUACACAUUAAAAUGAUUACAACGUAAAAACAGUAUAUCCUU
This 336-nucleotide small nuclear RNA is filed under the name Anolis carolinensis (green anole). RNAcentral describes it as "7SK RNA". It matches the Rfam family "7SK RNA". From Rfam's summary of the family: 7SK was discovered as an abundant small nuclear RNA in the mid-70s but a possible function has only recently been suggested. Two independent studies have found that 7SK RNA binds the CDK9/cyclin T complex (known as elongation factor P-TEFb). Lineage: Eukaryota; Metazoa; Chordata; Lepidosauria; Squamata; Anolidae. The record is from Rfam by way of RNAcentral.